CCUACGGGAGACAGCAGUGGGGAAUAUUGCACAAUGGACGAAAGUCUGAUGCAGCAACGCCGCGUGGAGGAUGACACAUUUCGGUGCGUAAACUCCUUUUAUAGGUCAAGAUAAUGACGGUAGCCUAUGAAUAAGCGUCGGCUAACUCCGUGCCAGCAGCCGCGGUAAU
This 169-nucleotide ribosomal RNA is filed under the name uncultured Arcobacter sp. RNAcentral describes it as "partial 16S ribosomal RNA". It matches the Rfam family "Bacterial small subunit ribosomal RNA", at positions 338 to 524 of the family's 1533-position model. Lineage: Bacteria; Pseudomonadati; Campylobacterota; Epsilonproteobacteria; Campylobacterales; Arcobacteraceae. The record is from RNAcentral.